GCUGCAGGUUUGUCACAACUUGUGCGUUUUUACGUGAUAUAGGCGCCUGAUCUAAGAUCAGUCGAUGUGCAUGAGAGUUGAGUCAGACGGUCAAACGCGAGCGGAAGUUGCAACCUCUCCAUCUACUGCCCAUAUGUUACUGGCAUGAAUACCUUGAUAUGAUUCAUUUCUUCAAAGUAAUUCAUGGCAUUACCAGCUCGUCCUUUGCCUUGCACGCCAAGACAACAAGACAUACAAGAUCGUCCACUAACACGAAAGGUGUAAAGUACGAAGUCCCGCGGUGCAAAACAACAACCUACCAAAAAUCAUACUGGAUAAGAACCAUCAGAACAUGGAACACGUUGACGGUAGUACUUGACUUGAGUAUGGAGAACUUCAACACAUUCAAGUCUGUAAUGCGAGAGUACUACCAUACUGCAUUAACGAACACAUACGAUUGUCGUGAUGUACGAACUUUUAAAACGAUUUGCCCGAAAUGCAAUAGAGCAAGGACUUUAACGAACUCGAUGAACUGUUGUUUUUAGUCUCUACGGUUUAAUUGUUAUUUGUG
Non-coding RNA from Paramuricea clavata, 550 nucleotides. NCBI's taxonomy places the organism in Eukaryota, Metazoa, Cnidaria, Anthozoa, Malacalcyonacea, Plexauridae. The record is from the annotation of a GenBank genome assembly.